This is a regulatory RNA element of Clostridium grantii DSM 8605, 159 nucleotides long. It matches the Rfam family "Ribosomal protein L10 leader". Rfam says of the family: This family is a putative r-protein leader autoregulatory structure found in B. subtilis and other low-GC Gram-positive bacteria. It is located in the 5' untranslated regions of mRNAs encoding ribosomal proteins L10 and L12 (rplJ-rplL). NCBI's taxonomy places the organism in Bacteria, Bacillati, Bacillota, Clostridia, Eubacteriales, Clostridiaceae. The record is from Rfam.
UUGAAUUAGGACAUUACUCCGCAGACCGUGGGUGCGAAAGCAUAACGUGAUUACAACCUACCGAGGAUUCAUAUAUUCUUCAUUUAGCAAAGUUGAUUUUGUUAUGUAAUGAGAUAUACACCUCUUCGUCGGUUGCGGAGAGGUUUUAUUUUUCAGUUA